This 488-nucleotide ribosomal RNA is filed under the name uncultured bacterium. RNAcentral's name for it is "partial 16S ribosomal RNA". It matches the Rfam family "Bacterial small subunit ribosomal RNA", at positions 30 to 523 of the family's 1533-position model. The record is from RNAcentral.
AUUGAACGCUGGCGGCAGGCCUAACACAUGCAAGUCGAGCGGGGUUUUCGGACCUAGCGGCGGACGGGUGAGUAAUGCGUAGGAAGCUGCCCGAUAGAGGGGGAUACCAGUUGGAAACGACUGUUAAUACCGCAUAAUGUCUACGGACCAAAGUGUGGGACCUUCGGGCCACAUGCUAUCGGAUGCGCCUACGUGGGAUUUGCUAGUUGGUGAGGUAAUGGCUCACCAAGGCGACGAUCUCUAGCUGGUUUGAGAGGAUGAUCAGCCACACUGGAACUGAGACACGGUCCAGACUCCUACGGGAGGCAGCAGUGGGGAAUAUUGGACAAUGGGCGCAAGCCUGAUCCAGCCAUGCCGCGUGUGCGAAGAAGGCCUUCGGGUUGUAAAGCACUUUCAGCGAGGAGGAAGGGUGGUGUGUUAAUAGCACAUCAUUUUGACGUUACUCGCAGAAGAAGCACCGGCUAACUCUGUGCCAGCCGCCGCGGUAA